UACAGAGGGGGCAAGCGUUGUUCGGAAUUACUGGGCGUAAAGGGCGCGUAGGCGGCCUUCUAAGUCGAACGUGAAAUCCCCGGGCUCAACCCGGGAACUGCGUCCGAUACUGGAAGGCUUGAAUCCGGGAGAGGGAUGUGGAAUUCCAGGUGUAGCGGUGAAAUGCGUAGAUAUCUGGAGGAACACCGGUGGCGAAGGCGACAUCCUGGACCGGUAUUGACGCUGAGGCGCGGAAGCCAGGGGAGCAAACGGG
This 253-nucleotide ribosomal RNA is filed under the name uncultured bacterium. RNAcentral's name for it is "partial 16S ribosomal RNA". It matches the Rfam family "Bacterial small subunit ribosomal RNA", at positions 524 to 776 of the family's 1533-position model. The record is from RNAcentral.